Molecule: long non-coding RNA, 224 nt
Filed under: Capsicum annuum
Lineage: Eukaryota; Viridiplantae; Streptophyta; Magnoliopsida; Solanales; Solanaceae
Description: long non-coding RNA (CANN_LNC014009)
Source: RNAcentral
CUUUGUUUAUUAUGUGUAAAGUUUUGAUCUUUGCUUAAAAUGAAUGCUCAUGGUUUGUUUAAAUUCGUUAUUGGUGGAUAUGUUUGCUUUUAGUAUGUAAAUUUGUUUCUUUAUGUCAAAAAGAAAUGGUUACUAUUGUUAAGGAUUUGUGAAAUUGUUUCUCAAUUUGAAGUAGUGACUUACUCAUUUUCAUGGUCAAAAUUGUCUUUGAUUUUCUCUUGUUU